UGUUAUUAUUAUUGUUUUGAUUAUUGUUGUUCUUAUUGCUGUCUUCUAUUGGCUAGGACUCAGAGAAAUUGAGAGGAGGCAAAGACAGAGGGGGGAGAGAAAGAUAGACACCUACAGACCUGCUUCACCACCUUGAAGUGAACCCACCUGGCAGCUUGGAAACAACAGCAACAACACUUGAGUACUGCUGGAGGAUAAAGUCCAACUUUGAAAGAAAGACCAUCUCACCCCAAAGCUGGGACUAUCUGCAUCUGAAUGAAGUCAUUGACAGGAUGGUCCACACUGCUGAGAUCCAGUUCACUCAUUCAUUCUCCUUACAAAAACACUAUUGAUUUCUAGAAAAGACACACCUCCUCCUUCCCAUCUCCCCAACAUUUGGUCAGUGGUCAUUUCUCCAUGGAAAAUAAAAUAAAUAAAAGAAAUUUCUUCAGCGGGGAUGGGGAGCCUGAGGCUACAGACACAGGCAGAGGAGGUGGAGGCAGAGCCAUGCACAAUAUCUUUGAUUCCAGCAUUGAAAUAUUAAUGGGAGAAAGAUGUCAGUCUCCCAUGUAUUGCACCUAUGUAACAGACUCUGGGGUGGGGGUCAGGGGAGUGUUCAGCUCUUGGGAUAUGAUGGGAAAGGAGGACCUAGAGGGGGUUGAAGUGUUAUGUGGAAAGAUGAGACAUGUUGUACAUGUACAAACUGCUCUAUUUUUCUCUUGACCCUAAACCAUUAACAACUCCCAUGAAGGAAGAAAGGAAGGAAGGAAGGAAACAAAGAAAGAAAGAAAGAAAGGAAGAAAGAAAGAAAGAAAGAGAAAGGUCUCCUGUGAGCACAACACUGUCAAACCAGAAAGGACCAGUGUUCCCAUCUUCCUAUUUCAAUGCCUCCGUUCUUAUGGUUAAAAUAGAAAAUAUAUAUAAAUAUAAUUAUAUGUAUAAUUAUAUAUAA
This is a long non-coding RNA of Erinaceus europaeus (western European hedgehog), 931 nucleotides long. RefSeq lists it as uncharacterized. The transcript is spliced from 2 exons. The record is from RefSeq and is a predicted model, not a curated record. NCBI's taxonomy places the organism in Eukaryota, Metazoa, Chordata, Mammalia, Eulipotyphla, Erinaceidae.